Molecule: long non-coding RNA, 269 nt
Organism: Cucurbita moschata (crookneck pumpkin)
Lineage: Eukaryota; Viridiplantae; Streptophyta; Magnoliopsida; Cucurbitales; Cucurbitaceae
Exons: 2
Source: RefSeq, a predicted model, not a curated record
AUGAACUUAAAAAUUAAUUAAAACUUAAAUCAGUGUUUGGACAUGAAUGGUGAUACGUUUUAGUACUCAAACCUUGACGUGGUAUUCAUCUAUCAGAUAACCAAAAAUUUGAAUUCAAAAAGAAAAGAGAAAAGGAAACUAGUCCCACGUUACAACAGAACAUGUUUGUUUGAAAUAUAAUCGUUACAACCGCCUUUUAUUAAGGUGAUCGGCGGGGUGAAUUGCGUCGGUUUAUCGCCUCAGGGUGUGCAGAAUGUACUCAGCAUAAA